AUUGAACGCUGGCGGCAUGCCUUACACAUGCAAGUCGAACGGCAGCACGGGGGCAACCCUGGUGGCGAGUGGCGAACGGGUGAGUAACAUAUCGGAACGUGCCCUGGAGUGGGGGAUAACUAGUCGAAAGAUUAGCUAAUACCGCAUACGAUCUACGGAUGAAAGUGGGGGAUCGCAAGACCUCAUGCUCGUGGAGCGGCCGAUAUCUGAUUAGCUAGUUGAUGGGGUAAAGGCCUACCAAGGCAUCGAUCAGUAGCUGGUCUGAGAGGACGACCAGCCACACUGGGACUGAGACACGGCCCAGACUCCUACGGGAGGCAGCAGUGGGGAAUUUUGGACAAUGGGCGCAAGCCUGAUCCAGCAAUGCCGCGUGAGUGAAGAAGGCCUUCGGGUUGUAAAGCUCUUUUGUCAGGGAAGAAACGGUGAGGGCUAAUAUCCUUUGCUAAUGACGGUACCUGAAGAAUAAGCACCGGCUAACUACGUGCCAGCAGCCGCGGUAAUACGUAGGGUGCAAGCGUUAAUCGGAAUUACUGGGCGUAAAGCGUGCGCAGGCGGUUGUGCAAGACCGAUGUGAAAUCCCCGGGCUUAACCUGGGAAUGGCAUUGGUGACUGCACGGCUAGAGUGUGUCAGAGGGGGGUAGAAUUCCACGUGUAGCAGUGAAAUGCGUAGAGAUGUGGAGGAAUACCGAUGGCGAAGGCAGCCCCCUGGGAUAACACUGACGCUCAUGCACGAAAGCGUGGGGAGCAAACAGGAUUAGAUACCCUGGUAGUCCACGCCCUAAACGAUGUCAACUAGUUGUCGGGUCUUAAUUGACUUGGUAACGCAGCUAACGCGUGAAGUUGACCGCCUGGGGAGUACGGUCGCAAGAUUAAAACUCAAAGGAAUUGACGGGGACCCGCACAAGCGGUGGAUGAUGUGGAUUAAUUCGAUGCAACGCGAAAAACCUUACCUACCCUUGACAUGGCAGGAAUCCCGGAGAGAUUCGGGAGUGCUCGAAAGAGAACCUGCACACAGGUGCUGCAUGGCUGUCGUCAGCUCGUGUCGUGAGAUGUUUGGGUUAAGUCCCGCAACGAGCGCAACCCUUGUCAUUAGUUGCUACGAAAGGGCACUCUAAUGAGACUGCCGGUGACAAACCGGAGGAAGGUGGGGAUGACGUCAAGUCCUCAUGGCCCUUAUGGGUAGGGCUUCACACGUCAUACAAUGGUACAUACAGAGGGCCGCCAACCCGCGAGGGGGAGCUAAUCCCAGAAAGUGUAUCGUAGUCCGGAUUGCAGUCUGCAACUCGACUGCAUGAAGUUGGAAUCGCUAGUAGUCGCGGAUCAGCAUGUCGCGGUGAAUACGUUCCCGGGUCU
This 1353-nucleotide ribosomal RNA is filed under the name uncultured bacterium. RNAcentral's name for it is "bacterial SSU rRNA". It matches the Rfam family "Bacterial small subunit ribosomal RNA", at positions 28 to 1381 of the family's 1533-position model. The record is from RNAcentral.